This 253-nucleotide ribosomal RNA is filed under the name uncultured bacterium. RNAcentral describes it as "partial 16S ribosomal RNA". It matches the Rfam family "Bacterial small subunit ribosomal RNA", at positions 524 to 776 of the family's 1533-position model. The record is from RNAcentral.
UACGAAGGGGGCUAGCGUUGCUCGGAAUCACUGGGCGUAAAGGGUGCGUAGGCGGGUUUUUAAGUCAGGGGUGAAAUCCUGGAGCUCAACUCCAGAACUGCCUUUGAUACUGAGAAUCUUGAGUACGGGAGAGGUGAGUGGAACUGCGAGUGUAGAGGUGAAAUUCGUAGAUAUUCGCAAGAACACCAGUGGCGAAGGCGGCUCACUGGCCCGUAACUGACGCUGAGGCACGAAAGCGUGGGGAGCAAACAGG